UCAAUAAAAAAAUAGUUUCUUUUAAUCAUACUCAUUCUUAGAAAGAAAUAUACUACUUUAAUACGCUAGCUAAUUGGACAGUCGAUUGCGACGAAUAGUGUUACUUCCAUAGACAAUAACUAGCUCACCUUCGGGCCUUUUCCUACAAUUGUUAUCAAUCUGACUGUUACUGUUUACCCACAGCUGCUAACUGGCUUAUUUAACGAACAGCUAGGUGACUAGCUUAGGAACGGACCAUUAGAUACAUCAGUGGGGCGGUUGCAGCUUUUUCUGUGCCGGACAAGGCAUGUAGUAAAACAUGGACUGGACUCAUUAGUAAAACAUGGAC
Paramuricea clavata is the source of this 328-nucleotide non-coding RNA. The record is from the annotation of a GenBank genome assembly. NCBI's taxonomy places the organism in Eukaryota, Metazoa, Cnidaria, Anthozoa, Malacalcyonacea, Plexauridae.